UACCUUGUUACGACUUCACCCCAAUCAUCAGCCCCACCUUCGGCAGCGUCCCCCUCGCGGUUAGACUACUCACUUCGGGUGUUGCCAACUCCCAUGGUGUCGCCGGGCGGUGUGUACAAGGCCCGGGGAACGUAUUCACGGCAGUAUGCUGACCUGCCAUUACUAGCAAUUUCGCCUUUCCGUGGGCGCAGUUGCCGGGGAACAUGUCGCGUGAGGAUAGUUUUCUCCCCAUUUCCUCACUUUGUCAGGUUCGCUUGCAUCUGUCAGUCGGAAUUGUCGUCAAGUGCGUUGGACAAUGGGUUAGUUACGCGCGGAAUGUGUCGAUUUAGACAGUGACUAAAAAAA
This 345-nucleotide ribosomal RNA is filed under the name uncultured bacterium. RNAcentral describes it as "partial 16S ribosomal RNA". The record is from RNAcentral.